CCCUAGCGCAAGAAGAAGCUGCCUUUCCCCCCCGAACCUAAGCGAGAGAAAUCCGAGCGAGCCCCUCCUCCUCCCCGGCGAAUCCCUCCUCCCUGAGUAUCCAAAGCGCGAAAUGUCGAAGGUUUCGUCUCCCGGUGGCGGCGCCCUCACCCUGGGCACCAAGCGCCCUCCCGGCGCACCCGGACUCGGCAGGGGCCGAGAGUUCCUCAUCCUCAUCGCAGGGGCCCUUGCCGUGUUCGUCAUCCUGUACGGACUCGGCUGCUUCAGGAACGGCCGCCGCCGCCGCAGAGCACCCCAUUAUGGCAGGAGGUUUGGCCGUGGCAGCCAGUGAAGACUUAUCAGGUCUGCGUGAUCCUGAGUUUUGAAGGAAGACUUUUACUAUUUUGGAAGAGUCAAGUAAUGAUAGAGGUGGUCAUUUUGUGGAUGCAGUGGUGUAAUCCAACGGUUGAGAUGCAAUGAUUAAUUAACUUGUCCUAAAAACAAUUAAGCAACUUGUAUGAGAAUUAUGGGACGCGUGGCUCCUCUGGGGACUAUAUAACCAGGGAGAGUGGGAGGAUGGGUGGCACGCAACCAAAAACCCUAUUUUCUUUGUCUUGUCUA
This is a long non-coding RNA of Triticum dicoccoides, 600 nucleotides long. RefSeq lists it as uncharacterized. The transcript has 3 exons. NCBI's taxonomy places the organism in Eukaryota, Viridiplantae, Streptophyta, Magnoliopsida, Poales, Poaceae. The record is from RefSeq and is a predicted model, not a curated record.